Molecule: RNA transcript, 110 nt
Organism: Zea mays
Lineage: Eukaryota; Viridiplantae; Streptophyta; Magnoliopsida; Poales; Poaceae
Gene name: receptor kinase pseudogene
Exons: 1
Source: RefSeq, marked validated
AAUAGGAAGCACUUUCAGCUGCAAAAAAAGAAAGCAGCAGUGAGGAUGAAGAUGACAGUAGUGAGGAAAGUUCGGAUGAUGAGCCAACAAAAGUUGAAGAAAAGAAGGUA